CUUAUGAGGUGUACGAAUAUUGAAGAGAGAGAAAGAGUCAAAUACUCCCCUAAAGACUCGACGGAUCAUAUUAUAAAUAAUACAACAAGACAGGUUUAUGACGGAUGAUGUAAUGCCUAGCUUUACCGUGAAGGGGAAAAGGAGAAAAUGACUUUCCAAAAGCAGUUUUUCAAGGUGUUCAAGCAAGUGUCACUGUGUUUACUGCUACUGAACAUGAGGUUGAUGGGGCAAUUGGAUCCUGUCUGAAGUACGCUCCAGACAGACAAGGAGGUGGAGGACGACGAACUAUUUACACAAGUUAAUGAACAUACAUCUCUAAAUUUAUAAAUUAACAAUGUGUCAUUUUAAUAAUUUAA
Molecule: long non-coding RNA, 356 nt
Organism: Mya arenaria
Lineage: Eukaryota; Metazoa; Mollusca; Bivalvia; Myida; Myidae
Exons: 3
Source: RefSeq, a predicted model, not a curated record